CCUACGGGUGGCAGCAGUGGGGAAUAUUGCUCAAUGGGCGAAACCCUGAUGCAGCGACGCCGCGUGAGUGAAGAAGUUAUUCGUUAUGUAAAGCUCUAUUUGUAGGGAAGAACAUGCCGGUACCUGAGUAAGAAUCCCCGGAUAAUUACGAGCCAGCAGCCGCGGUAAUACGUAGGGGGCAAGCGUUAUCCGGAUUUUAUGGGUGUAAAGGGAGCGUAGACGGUUGGGCAAGUAUGGAGUGAAAGGCGGGGGCUCAACCCCCGGAGUGCUCUGGAAACUGUACGGCUGGAGUGCAGAAGAGGAAAGUGGAAUUCCAUGUGUAGCGGUGAAAUGCGUAGAUAUUAGGAGGAACACCAGUGGCGAAGGCGGCUUACUGGUCUGUAACUGACGUUGAGGCUCGAAAGCGUGGGGAGCAAACAGGAUUAGAUACCCUUGUAGUC
RNAcentral lists this ribosomal RNA (440 nucleotides) under uncultured bacterium. RNAcentral describes it as "partial 16S ribosomal RNA". It matches the Rfam family "Bacterial small subunit ribosomal RNA", at positions 338 to 795 of the family's 1533-position model. The record is from RNAcentral.